RNAcentral lists this transfer RNA (65 nucleotides) under Cryptophyllium tibetense. Its description in RNAcentral is "Phyllium tibetense tRNA-Glu". The record is from RNAcentral. Lineage: Eukaryota; Metazoa; Arthropoda; Insecta; Phasmatodea; Phylliidae.
AAUUAUGUAGUUUAAUUAAAAUAAUACAUUUUCAUUGUAUAGUUAAAUAAUCCAUUUCAUAGUUA